GUCCACGCCGUAAACGAUGAGUGCUAAGUGUUAGAGGGUUUCCGCCCUUUAGUGCUGAAGUUAACGCAUUAAGCACUCCGCCUGGGGAGUACGGCCGCAAGGCUGAAACUCAAAGGAAUUGACGGGGGCCCGCACAAGCGGUGGAGCAUGUGGUUUAAUUCGAAGCAACGCGAAGAACCUUACCAGGUCUUGACAUCCUCUGACAACCCUAGAGAUAGGGCUUCUCCUUCGGGAGCAGAGUGACAGGUGGUGCAUGGUUGUCGUCAGCUCGUGUCGUGAGAUGUUGGGUUAAGUCCCGCAACGAGCGCAACCCUUGAUCUUAGUUGCCAUCAUUUAGUUGGGCACUCUAAGGUGACUGCCGGUGACAAACCGGAGGAAGGUGGGGAUGACGUCAAAUCAUCAUGCCCCUUAUGACCUGGGCUACACACGUGCUACAAUGGACGGUACAAAGAGCUGCAAGACCGCGAGGUGGAGCUAAUCUCAUAAAACCGUUCUCAGUUCGGAUUGUAGGCUGCAACUCGCCUACAUGAAGCUGGAAUCGCUAGUAAUCGCGGAUCAGCAUGCCCGGUGGAAAAACCUUUCCCCGGGCCCUUUGUACACACCGGCCCGUCACACCACGAAGAGUUUGUAACACCCCGAAGUCGGGUGGGGUAACCUUUUUUGGAGCCAGCCGGCCUAAGGUGGGACAGAUGAUUGGGGUGAUCAGAAGAAAGACCCCGUGAAAAACAUAUAAAAAAAGGAAAAAAGGGGGCCGCCGCGGGGAAAGG
This 767-nucleotide ribosomal RNA is filed under the name Bacillus cereus. RNAcentral's name for it is "bacterial SSU rRNA". It matches the Rfam family "Bacterial small subunit ribosomal RNA", at positions 793 to 1533 of the family's 1533-position model. The record is from RNAcentral. Lineage: Bacteria; Bacillati; Bacillota; Bacilli; Caryophanales; Bacillaceae.